Molecule: transfer RNA, 72 nt
Filed under: Plectosphaerella cucumerina
Lineage: Eukaryota; Fungi; Ascomycota; Sordariomycetes; Glomerellales; Plectosphaerellaceae
Rfam family: tRNA
About the family: Transfer RNA (tRNA) molecules are approximately 80 nucleotides in length. Their secondary structure includes four short double-helical elements and three loops (D, anti-codon, and T loops).
Source: Rfam by way of RNAcentral
GGUUGAGUAGUGUAAUGGUUAUCACUGCGGAUUCUGAUUCCGCCGAUCUGGGUUCGAUUCCCAGCUCGACCU